RNAcentral lists this non-coding RNA (98 nucleotides) under Streptococcus infantis. Its description in RNAcentral is "PreQ1-II sequence". It matches the Rfam family "PreQ1-II (pre queuosine) riboswitch aptamer". Rfam says of the family: Q is a hyper modified nucleoside present in some anticodons in tRNAs (Try, Asn, Asp and His). The record is from RNAcentral. Lineage: Bacteria; Bacillati; Bacillota; Bacilli; Lactobacillales; Streptococcaceae.
UGUGCUAUACUUGAAAGGUUGACUUGCUCAACCCUUGGUGCUUAGCUUCUUUCACCAAGCAUAUUUUACGCGGGUUAAUCGCUAAAGGAGAAAACAUG